ACUGAAACAUCUAAGUACCCCGAGGAAAAGAAAUCAACCGAGAUUCCCCCAGUAGCGGCGAGCGAACGGGGAGCAGCCCAGAGUCUGAAUCAGCUUGUGUGUUAGUGGAACGGUCUGGAAAGUCCGACGGUACAGGGUGAUAGUCCCGUACACCAAAAUGCACAGGUUGUGAACUCGAAGAGUAGGGCGGGACACGUGGUAUCCUGUCUGAAUAUGGGGGGACCAUCCUCCAAGGCUAAAUACUCCUGACUGACCGAUAGUGAACCAGUACCGUGAGGGAAAGGCGAAAAGAACCCCGGCGAGGGGAGUGAAAAAGAACCUGAAACCGUGUACGUACAAGCAGUGGGAGCACCUUCGGGUGUGACUGCGUACCUUUUGUAUAAUGGGUCAGCGACUUAUAUUCUGUAGCAAGGUUAACCGUAUAGGGGAGCCGCAGGGAAACCGAGUCUUAACUGGGCGUUAAGUUGCAGGGUAUAGACCCGAAACCCGGUGAUCUAGCCAUGGGCAGGUUGAAGGUUGGGUAACACUAACUGGAGGACCGAACCGACUAAUGUUGAAAAAUUAGCGGAUGACUUGUGGCUGGGGGUGAAAGGCCAAUCAAACCGGGAGAUAGCUGGUUCUCCCCGAAAGCUAUUUAGGUAGCGCCUCGUGAAUUCAUCUUCGGGGGUAGAGCACUGUUUCGGCUAGGGGGUCAUCCCGACUUACCAACCCGAUGCAAACUACGAAUACCGAAGAAUGUUAUCACGGGAGACACACGGCGGGUGCUAACGUCCGUCGUGAAGAGGGAAACAACCCAGACCGCCAGCUAAGGUCCCAAAGUCAUGGUUAAGUGGGAAACGAUGUGGGAAGGCACAGACAGCCAGGAUGUUGGCUUAGAAGCAGCCAUCAUUUAAAGAAAGCGUAAUAGCUCACUGGUCGAGUCGGCCUGCGCGGAAGAUGUAACGGGGCUAAACCAUGCACCGAAGCUGCGGCAGCGACACUAUGUGUUGUUGGGUAGGGGAGCGUUCUGUAAGCCUGCGAAGGUGACCUGUGAGGGUUGCUGGAGGUAUCAGAAGUGCGAAUGCUGACAUAAGUAACGAUAAAGCGGGUGAAAAGCCCGCUCGCCGGAAGACCAAGGGUUCCUGUCCAACGUUAAUCGGGGCAGGGUGAGUCGACCCCUAAGGCGAGGCCGAAAGGCGUAGUCGAUGGGAAACAGGUUAAUAUUCCUGUACUUGGUGUUACUGCGAAGGGGGGACGGAGAAGGCUAUGUUAGCCGGGCGACGGUUGUCCCGGUUUAAGCAUGUAGGCUGGUUGUCCAGGCAAAUCCGGAUAAUCAAGGCUGAGGUGUGAUGACGAGGCACUACGGUGCUGAAGUAACAAAUGCCCUGCUUCCAGGAAAAGCCUCUAAGCAUCAGGUAACAUCAAAUCGUACCCCAAACCGACACAGGUGGUCAGGUAGAGAAUACCAAGGCGCUUGAGAGAACUCGGGUGAAGGAACUAGGCAAAAUGGUGCCGUAACUUCGGGAGAAGGCACGCUGGUGUGUAGGUGAAGUCCCUGCGGAUGGAGCUGAGACCAGUCGAAGAUACCAGCUGGCUGCAACUGUUUAUUAAAAACACAGCACUGUGCAAACACGAAAGUGGACGUAUACGGUGUGACGCCUGCCCGGUGCCGGAAGGUUAAUUGAUGGGGUUAUCCGUAAGGAGAAGCUCUUGAUCGAAGCCCCGGUAAACGGCGGCCGUAACUAUAACGGUCCUAAGGUAGCGAAAUUCCUUGUCGGGUAAGUUCCGACCUGCACGAAUGGCGUAAUGAUGGCCAGGCUGUCUCCACCCGAGACUCAGUGAAAUUGAACUCGCUGUGAAGAUGCAGUGUACCCGCGGCAAGACGGAAAGACCCCGUGAACCUUUACUAUAGCUUGACACUGAACAUUGAGCCUUGAUGUGUAGGAUAGGUGGGAGGCUUUGAAGCGUGGACGCCAGUCUGCGUGGAGCCAACCUUGAAAUACCACCCUUUAAUGUUUGAUGUUCUAACGUUGGCCCCUGACCGGGGUUGCGGACAGUGUCUGGUGGGUAGUUUGACUGGGGCGGUCUCCUCCCAAAGCGUAACGGAGGAGCACGAAGGUUAGCUAAUCCUGGUCGGACAUCAGGAGGUUAGUGCAAUGGCAUAAGCUAGCUUGACUGCGAGCGUGACGGCGCGAGCAGGUGCGAAAGCAGGUCAUAGUGAUCCGGUGGUUCUGAAUGGAAGGGCCAUCGCUCAACGGAUAAAAGGUACUCCGGGGAUAACAGGCUGAUACCGCCCAAGAGUUCAUAUCGACGGCGGUGUUUGGCACCUCGAUGUCGGCUCAUCACAUCCUGGGGCUGAAGUAGGUCCCAAGGGUAUGGCUGUUCGCCAUUUAAAGUGGUACGCGAGCUGGGUUUAGAACGUCGUGAGACAGUUCGGUCCCUAUCUGCCGUGGGCGCUGGAGAAUUGAGGGGGGCUGCUCCUAGUACGAGAGGACCGGAGUGGACGCAUCACUGGUGUUCGGGUUGUCAUGCCAAUGGCACUGCCCGGUAGCUAAAUGCGGAAGAGAUAAGUGCUGAAAGCAUCUAAGCACGAAACUUGCCCCGAGAUGAGUUCUCCCUGAGACU
RNAcentral lists this ribosomal RNA (2604 nucleotides) under Klebsiella pneumoniae. RNAcentral describes it as "bacterial LSU rRNA". It matches the Rfam family "Bacterial large subunit ribosomal RNA", at positions 192 to 2822 of the family's 2925-position model. The record is from RNAcentral. Lineage: Bacteria; Pseudomonadati; Pseudomonadota; Gammaproteobacteria; Enterobacterales; Enterobacteriaceae.